This is a non-coding RNA of Arvicanthis niloticus (Nile rat), 104 nucleotides long. NCBI's taxonomy places the organism in Eukaryota, Metazoa, Chordata, Mammalia, Rodentia, Muridae. The record is from RefSeq and is a predicted model, not a curated record.
GUGGUCACUCCGGCAGCACAUGUACUAAAACUGGAACGAUACAGAGAUUUGCACGGCCCCUGUGCAAGGAUGACACAAAAAUCCGUGAAAUGUUCCAUAUUUCU